RNAcentral lists this long non-coding RNA (621 nucleotides) under Coturnix japonica (Japanese quail). RNAcentral's name for it is "lncRNA (ENSCJPG00005001609.1)". Lineage: Eukaryota; Metazoa; Chordata; Aves; Galliformes; Phasianidae. The record is from RNAcentral.
UGUGACACUCGUCGAUGAAGCUGAGCUGGGCGGCGGCGUCGCUGAUAAGAGCUGACAGAUCCCCCCCCGCAGCCCCCGCCAUGUGCCUCAAUGCUGCCACCCCAAAGUGCAAUGCCCACAGGUGCCGGCAGGGGGCGCUCUAAUAGGGAUAGAAUGGGGAUAUAAUGGGGUUCUAUGGGGGUAGUGCAAUGCCCACAGGUGCCGGCAGGGGGCGCCCUAAUAGGGAUAUAAUGGGGUUCAAUGGGGGUAGUGCAAUGCCCAUAGGUGCCGGCAGGGGGCGCCCUAAUAGGGAUAUAAUGGGGUUCUAUGGGGUACUGCAAUGCCCUAAUAGGGAUAUAAUAGGGAUAUAAUGGGGUUCUAUGGGGGGACUGCAAUGCCCACAGGUGCCUGCAGGGGGCGCCCUAACAGGGAUAGAAUGGGGUUCUAUGGGGUAGUGCAAUGCCCACAAGUGCCGGCAGGGGGCGCCCUAAUAGGGAUAUAAUAGGGAUAGAAUGGGGUUCUAUGGGGUAGUGCAAUGCCCACAGGUGCCGGCAGGGGGCGCCCUAAUAGGGAUAUAAUAGGGAUAUAAUAGGGAUAUAAUGGGGUUCUAUGGGGGGGGCUGCAUUAAUUGACCCCUAUUAU